UCUCCUGGCAUCCCUCCCAGCUAAGCAAGCAGCUCCACUUGAGUCUCCGGGAAAAUGCCUGCCUCUCUGGCUCUCAUUAUUCAGAUGCUAAGACAUUAGGGUUUCCAGAAACAAAAGAGUAUUACAAUUAGAAGAGUGAUCAUGGCCUUCUGGGCCCUGUUUCCUUUUGAGACUGGAAAAAAUGAAGAAUGAUGUCACUGUUAGCAAAUCCUCCAGAACUCUUCAAUAAGAGAUGACAAUUCUUUCCAUACCCUUCCUACCAAUACUCCAGUUCAACCUCCCCCCCACCCUAUCCCCAGGAUCUUCCUCCUGAUCAAAACCACCCAAAUUCCAAGAGCUGAAUUGUUUUUGACAACCCCAGUGGCAUGAUCAAGGCAUUAUGGGUUAGAGAAACUCAACAUCUGAGAAUUCUGCGUACCAGGAUGUUCCAACAGCCUUCCGUACUUGAUCUGUAUUUAUCCUCAUAACAAUUUAUGGGAGAAUUACUGUCCUACUUUCACAGCUUGAGGACACUGAGACUCCAAAACAUUAUUCACUCACAGUCCCAUAACUAAUGCAAAGCAAACCUUGGAUUUGAACCCAGGCACAUCAUACUCAAAACAACAUUGCUUGAACAACAUGGAAGUCAAGGAUGGUCAUCAAUUCCCAGGGACCCAGCUAAUAUCUUCCCUGUUUGUCAAAGUCCUUGCUGAUAUUCUUAGUAGUCUCCUGCUUCAGAGACUCUGUCCUCAAUUAGUAAAGACUUGCCUGUAAGCAUCCCCUAUUCUUUAAGAUUUGGAGCUUAAAUUCCAAAAGUAACCAAUUGUGCCAUCCAAUUUGUCAUUCCCAAAUCAUCUGUCCCUCCUGGAGCAAUAAUUGUGUAUUAGUAAUAAAUAAAAUGAGCCACGAACCAA
Ictidomys tridecemlineatus (thirteen-lined ground squirrel) is the source of this 893-nucleotide non-coding RNA. NCBI's taxonomy places the organism in Eukaryota, Metazoa, Chordata, Mammalia, Rodentia, Sciuridae. The record is from RefSeq and is a predicted model, not a curated record.